RNAcentral lists this long non-coding RNA (589 nucleotides) under Piliocolobus tephrosceles (Ugandan red Colobus). RNAcentral's name for it is "lncRNA (ENSPTEG00000018462.1)". The record is from RNAcentral. Lineage: Eukaryota; Metazoa; Chordata; Mammalia; Primates; Cercopithecidae.
AAAAGAUGUAAAAGAUGUAAAAGAUGUGGAAAACGAAAUUAUGCUUCAUUUAAAAAGUAUUAAAUAUUAUAACAAUAAAAGAUUACCUAUUCAUAAUAAACAAACAGAUGAUGGUGAUGUUAAUGAAGUUAACAAGAACAACAGUCAAAUAGAAAAAGAAUUAUUACUACUUGAAUCAACUAACACUGAUGAAGCAAAAGACGAACAAACUGUAACAAAUAAAAAUUUUUAUUUUUUAAAUAAUAAAUUAUAUACUAAUGAAAUAUAUAAUAAAAAAAUUACAGAAGCUUAUUUAACUCAAAUUGUUCAACUUCCUCAUAUUCUUUUUGAUGAAAAAAAAGAACCCUGUUUUCUUAUGAAAUUUGAACAGUAUCUUCUAAUUAAACAGGAAUUUAUAACAAAAAUGCAAGACAUAACUGAGAAAUUUAUAAAUAAGAUGCUUUUUCUGAACAAAGAAAAAAAGGAGCUUCUCUGUGUUUUUGAAAAGGAUAUAAAAGAAUUAACUUCACAACAUAUGCUUAACAAUGUAUUGAACAUUUUAUACUAAAAAAGUGCCCAAGUUUUUAUAAUAAAAAAUAUGAGGAAAGCA